ACUCCACACUACAUGAUUGAGUAAAUACGAAAUGUGGAACAGUCAGGCAUUCAAGCUCAACCGGCUUGGAUAUACAGUAACAGCAACAUAUUCUUAAGUUUGUUUUAACAGUAUUGACUUUUCCCUUGAUCCCAUCUGCUUAUGAAAAGAGCAUUUAUUCAUGCCACAAAUGGUACAAUGCCACGUUGUCAUCUUCUCCUGUAAGAGCAUCCCCAGCAGCUCAUCCAUAUUUAAUCCUCUAAAUACCCAUAUGGAUAGUCAUCAAAAAAAGAUUCCUCAUUCAUAUCCAUUCCCACUCCAACAAAUCAUCCAUAUUACGUCAUUCAUAUCCCACCCUCCUAUAUUUUAAUAAUAUCUUCCAACUAACCUUACUUUUACUUUUGUAUUUUUAAGGGACAUAUUUUGAACUACUAAAUUUUAACAGUGUUAUUUAUCACGAUAAUAUUUCGAAAUGAGUAUAUUUUAACGGAUACAUUUUUAAUGGAUAGUUUUUUAAUUGAUAUAUUUGAAUUGAGUGAAGCAUUUUUUUUGGAUAUAUUCGUAGCAACAUCCAAAAAAAAAUGAACACAACAAAAAUAAACAUCUGUAUAUUUCCCUUUCUCUACUCAGGCUGCACAGUAGUGAACAUACUACUAGAAUUUUUUUAAAAAAUAAUACGAUUUUAAUAGAAAAUCGCAAAAAUAUAGGUCGGUUCGACGAAAUCGUAAAUUUAGCACCCUGUCGAACAACCGUGUCUCGAUAGAGGUACUUAUCGAACUAUGGCAGUUCGACAUGUACCUGUCGAACUGCCAUAGUUCGAUAGGGUAGUUGGUCCAAGGGAAAAAAUAAAAAAAGGACAGUAACAGUGCCUGGCAGGACAUAUCGAACAAGCAAACUUCGAUAGGGUGGCAUGUCGAACUUGGUCUCAGCUACAGUGUGCUACAGUGUUUUUCCUCUUUUUAAAAAUUAUUUUAUCAUCUGUCGAACUGCCGGCACCCUGUCGAACUGCGGUUGUUCGAUAGGUACCCUGUCGAACCACGGAUAUUCGAUAGAGUGCCAAACUUGCGAUUUCGUCUAACCGACCUAUAUUUUUGAGAUUUUCCUUUAAAAUCGUAUUAUUUCCAAAAAAAAUCCCAUACUACUACUACUCUUUCUGCAGAGGCAGCAGGCGAGGGGCAGCAGCGGGCGUGCGGUGGAGGGGCAGCGGCGGCCGGGCGGACGGGCGAGGGGUGGCGGCGGGCGUGUGGCCGGGAGGGCGAAGGGCAGCGGGCGUGCGGCGGAGGGCGGCGGCGGCCGGGCGGGCGGAGGGCGGCGGUGGGUGUGUGGCCGAGGGUCGGCGCGCGGCCAGGCCGACGGGCGAGGGGCGGCGGCGGACGACCGGACGAGGGCGCAGAUGGGCGGGGAGGAGGCAGACGGGGGGAGGAGAAGCUCGAGGGCGCUGCUGCGGGUGUCCGACGGCGGGAGCGCCGCAGUGGAUCAGGCGACGGCAGGAGGACAACCUGGGCGCGGGUGGCUGACGGCGGGAGCUCGUGCUAUGGCGAAACCUCCAGAUCUGGAUGGAGUAGCUGCUGGUCAUGCUCUAAGGCCAUUCGUAAUACGCUGAUGUGCCAUUCAGCCCGGAGAGCCCAGCUCGGAGAUUCUACUCCACGACUGUGUUUUUCAUUGCUCCAUGAGGAACGCGGAACCAAUUAUUGCUACAGGUACCUCGCCAGGAUUUGCAUGUUUGGACCCACCACUUUCAUGCCCCGCGCCACAGGGAAGGGAGAGGGAGAACGGGAAGAAAGCAUCCGACCGAAGGAGGCCGCAUCGACUGCCACCGAAGAGCUCAACAGGGACGGUAGCCUCCCGCUCCGUGCCGCCGCCAGGGAGCUUGUCGACCCUCCCUCCAGUUUGCACCGCCAAUCUCCAUCUUCAUCGCUCGAUCCGCCCAUGGCCCACCAAUGGCGGCGAGAUGCAGGGAUUGGUAGGCAAAAUCAGAGAAGAGAAGGGAGAGCCGCAGCCCUCGACGGAGCUCGCCUCGACAGCGGCGCUUCAUCCCUUGUCAGCAUGAGCCACCGACGGAUCCACCGGAUUGGAGACCGAGGGGGGGGGGGGCGUGGGGCGAAGCUCGCGGCGGCGUAGGCCUGAGCCGCUGUGGGGACCUCGCCAGCCUCAAUCCGUGCUCGCCGCUGAGGCCCUCCUCGAUCCACGCCGCCAGAAGCUCGAGGUGGGAAAUGCCGCCGUCGCUAAGCUCGAUAUCCAGCCGUUUCCUUGUCCUGUCGUUCGAGCUUGACGGGAAAGGCGACGACGGGACCGGAGAAGAGAGAGGCUGGUGCGGCGAGAGGAGAGGAGCGACGAAGAGGGAGAGGAAGACAUGAGGGAGGAGAGGGAGGCGACGGAGAGCGAGAGGAGCUUGAGGUCGAGGCCGCGCCACCGAGGUCGAUCCGGAGCCGGCGGGGGAGGCGACGGAGAGGGAGAGGACCUCCCGAGAUUAGCAGCUCGGUGCCACCACCGUUCCGCCGCCACGCCACCGUCGUCCACGGCUUCCGCCCCUCGCGGACCUCGCACGUCGCCCGCUGCCGUGCCACCGACUCCGCUGAACUCGCCGACCUCACCCGUCCCUCGCUCCCACUCCGCUGACCCCGCCGCUGCUUCGGGGGAGGAGAGAGGGGUGGAUCUGGCGAGCACCGACGCCUUCCUUCGCCUGCUGACUCAGUCUGCUAGUGGGGAAUGGAUUAGAGGAGAGAGAGAGAGGGGGGGAGUUAAGAAGUAAAAAAGAUAGUACUAGUGCACCCAUCUAUUAUCUAUCUAUCUAUCUUCUAUCUUCUAUCUAUCUA
Non-coding RNA from Oryza sativa Japonica Group (Japanese rice), 2795 nucleotides. The record is from RefSeq and is a predicted model, not a curated record. Lineage: Eukaryota; Viridiplantae; Streptophyta; Magnoliopsida; Poales; Poaceae.